ACGGUCCUAAGGUAGCGAAAUUCCUUGUCAGGUAAGUUCUGACCCGCACGAAUGGCGUAAUGAUUUGGGCACUGUCUCAACAGCCCGCCCGGCGAAAUUGUAGUACUGGUGAAGAUGCCAGUUACCCGCAACUAGACGGAAAGACCCCAUGGAGCUUUACUGCAGCUUAAUACUGAAAUUCGGUAGUACAUGUACAGGAUAGGUGGGAGACUGAGAAAUACAGGCGUCAGCUUGUAUGGAGUCGCUGUUGGGAUACCACUCUUGUACUGCUGGGUUUCUAACCUGCGGCCGUGAAUCCGGUCGGGGGACACUGUUAGGCGGGCAGUUUGACUGGGGCGGUCGCCUCCAAAAGAGUAACGGAGGCGCUCAAAGGUUCGUUCAGCACGGACGGAAAUCGUGCAUUGAGUGUAAACGCAUAAACGAGCCUAACUGCGAGACCGACGGGUCGAGCAGUAACGAAAGUUGGAGUUAGUGAUCCGGUGGUAUGUGAGUGGAAAUGCCAUCGCUCAACGGAUAAAAGUUACCCUGGGGAUAACAGGCUGAUCUCCCCCAAGAGUCCACAUCGACGGGGAGGUUUGGCACCUCGAUGUCGGCUCAUCGCAUCCUGGGGCUGUAUUCGGUCCCAAGGGUUUGGCUGUUCGCCAAUUAAAGCGGCACGCGAGCUGGGUUCAGAACGUCGUGAGACAGUUCGGUCCCUAUCUGUUGCGGGCGUAAGAGAUUUGAAGGGAGCUGUCCUUAGUACGAGAGGACCGGGAUGGACGUACCUCUGGUGCACCAGUUGUCCUGCCAAGGGCAUAGCUGGGUAGCUAUGUACGGACGAGAUAAACGCUGAAAGCAUCUAAGCGUGAAACUCUCCCUAAGAUGAGAUCUCUCAUCCAUUAUGGAGUAAGGGCCCAGAAAGACGAUCUGGUUGAUAGGCCGGAGGUGGAAGCACGGUAACGUGUGCAGCUGACCGGUACUAAUAGCCCGAGGGCUUGACCUA
Molecule: ribosomal RNA, 982 nt
Filed under: human gut metagenome
Description: bacterial LSU rRNA
Rfam family: Bacterial large subunit ribosomal RNA
Source: RNAcentral